Molecule: long non-coding RNA, 1529 nt
Organism: Clupea harengus (Atlantic herring)
Lineage: Eukaryota; Metazoa; Chordata; Actinopteri; Clupeiformes; Clupeidae
Source: Ensembl
GGGAGGUAAAGUGGCCUUGAGUUUGUGUCCUCAGUGGACAGGGAGGCUAGUUCAGCAUUCCUGCUUACACACACACACACACACACACACACACACUCCCUCUCUCUCUCUCUCCCUCCCCCUCACACACACACACACACAAUUAUUCAGCACCACACUGAUGAUUUCUGGGUUAGUGCUACUUCACCCCCAGUCAAUGUUGAUAGAUGCUUCCAGAACCCUCUCUCAGGAGAGAAUACUUCUAGAAUCCUCUUUCAGGAGAGAAUACUUCUAGAACCCUAUCUUAGGAGGGAAUACUUCUAGAAUCCUCUUUCAGGAGAGAAUACUUCUAGAACCCUAUCUUAGGAGGGAAUACUUCUAGAAUCCUCUUUCAGGAGAGAAUACUUCUAGAACCCUAUCUUAGGAGGGAAUACUUCUAGAACCCUCUUUCAGGAGAGAAUACUUCUAGAAUCCUUAAGGAUGUUCUGGAAGGCUCAGGCUAUGUGGUCAUGUUGAAAUGGCUUUUCUAGUACUUAGGGACACCAUUCGAUCAGUGUGUGUGUGUGUGUGUGUGUGUGUGUGUGUGUGUGUGGGGGGACACACUCCGAUUCAGCUGUUUGUAACAGCAUAGUGGCUGAAGGGGCCUUCUCUUCUCUUCCUUCUCAGAUCUGCAUCCAACUCAACCCGUACACAAAACCAUACACACAUACACACACACACACACACACACACACACACACACACACACACACAGGGGUGCCCAAUGAGGGGGGGGGGGGGGGGGUCUGUCCUUUGGCUAAUCUUCAAUCAUUUCAGCAAAAGCCUUAACCAGCAUAGCCUCUUGCUUCCUCACACAUUCACACACACACACACACACACUCGCAUACACACUCACUUUGUAAAUAGUAUAAAUAUAUACAAAUAUAAUAUUAGAAAAAGAGUAAUUUAUGAUGUCACAUUUCUGUAUCAAGCUGUGCGCAUGAAGGAUCAUUUUUUGUAUGGUUUUGAUCGAGGCCUGUUUUACACUUUUACGUUUACUGUCUUUGAAGCCUUUACUUUGUUUAUUAAGCCUUUACUAUGUUUGAAAUGUUUUCAUUUUUUUAUAUAUGUCAGCCAUCCAUGGAGUGCUUUAUUGUCAUGUCAGAAUGGGAGUGUCCUAUGUAAACACACUGAGCACCCCUCGGCCAAUGGGAGUGCUUCCUGCGCUGUCCUAUGUAAACACACUGAGCACCCCUCGGCCAAUGGGAGCGCUCCCUGUGCUGUGAGUGCUGUCCUAUGUAAACACACUGAGCACCCCUCGGCCAAUGGGAGCGCUCCCUGUGCUGUGAGUGCUGUCCUAUGUAAACACACUGAGCACCCCUCGGCCAAUGGGAGCGCUCCCUGUGCUGUGAGUGCUGUCCUAUGUAAACACACUGAGCACCCCUCGGCCAAUGGGAGCGCUCCCUGUGCUGUGAGUGCUGUCCUAUGUAAACACACUGAGCACCCCUCGGCCAAUGGGAGCCUUUCCAUGGCAGUCACACUUGUGUUCUGAUUUGUCUUUGGGUCUUUGG